Long non-coding RNA from Stegostoma tigrinum, 1359 nucleotides. RefSeq lists it as uncharacterized. The record is from RefSeq and is a predicted model, not a curated record. Lineage: Eukaryota; Metazoa; Chordata; Chondrichthyes; Orectolobiformes; Stegostomatidae. The transcript has 2 exons.
UCAGCCUGCAGGGAUUUUACUGAAUUUUUGAGAUAAUACAACUUAAAAAAAUAGGAUUUAACAGUUAUAUAUCUGAAAUAGACACUGUGUGGAUAAAAGCUACAAAAGUCAAACUUCAAAGGCAUGAAGAGUGGAUUAAAACAACGUCAACUCACAUAGCUGGGGAAUCUCAUGCGAAGAUUCUGCAACUCAGAAUGAAAGUUUGCAAGAUCUCCUUUCUAUUAUGAAGAUGGGGGUUGGGGAUUGGCGAACGGAAAGACGCAGGGAGAUUGAGAACCGCUUUCAAUGUGUCGAUGGCAUCAACUCACCAUCCCUGGGAAGAAACAAGGAUUUUUUUUUUGUUUGGGCCGCUUUUAUUUGGGCUUUAGGUCGAGGGCACCUGUUUAUGGAGAGCAGCGAGUGUGAGAACAAACAGCGCCGCGCCCUGGAGUGCACUGAAAAUUAACCCACUCCAAAACCAACAGUUCCAACUUUCAAGCAGCGCUUCAAAUCCUGCUGCGGACGGAGUAAAACAAUAAAUUUGUACUUUAGGACUGAGGUGUGUUGCCCUUUUGACGAGAGGCCAGCCUGUUGUCUUUUCCUUUCCGUUCAUUCUCAACAAUAAAGAAAGACGAACACUGGAAUUUCUGCACAGUUCAGGUCCAACAGCCGGAAGUAAGUCGCUUGUUUAAGAGAGACGACAAUGUUGAAGUGGGAUGCAAUAUUUUAAAUGGAGCACGGCGGACCGGAAGAUAAACUGGUCUCAACAGCGCCAAUUUUCUUUUUAGUCAUGCAAUCCAUCUUUAGCAAACAGGGGGGACUGCUUCUCUAUUAAAAACCCGAAAGAAUUGCGGACGCUGUAAAUCAGAAACAAAGCCAGCAGUUGCUGGAAAAGCUCGGCAGGCCAGGCAGCAUCCGUGAAGAGAAAACAGAGUUAACGCUUCGGGAUCCGCUGAUCCUUGCUUAGAACAGGCAAACUAAAUGCAAACCUGAAGAAAACUAGUUAAUCUCUUGUAGAGCACUUGUGAAAGCUGUGACUUUCAACUGAUAGGUCCGAGACUUUGUAUAUGGGUAUCAGUCACCUUCUGUCUCAUUUCAACCAGUGUAGCAUUUGGAGGAAGACAACUGAAGUUGACCAACAGUAAAGUUAUAAAGAUCAAACCUUUUCAGACUCUCAGUCAUGUCACUGAUGUAUUGCUGCUCACUCUACAUUAACUCUGUGCUGACACUGACUGUUCAACUUUAAGAAGAAAAAGGGUUAAACAUUUUCAUAAGUCCUGUCAAGUUCUCUGUGACGAUGUUACACAGCCCUCUUAUGUAUUUUUCAUGUAUUUGGAUUCUGAGAUGAGUCUGGGAAGCCUAAUAAAGUCUUCUAUUGGC